Molecule: long non-coding RNA, 241 nt
Filed under: Solanum tuberosum (potato)
Lineage: Eukaryota; Viridiplantae; Streptophyta; Magnoliopsida; Solanales; Solanaceae
Description: long non-coding RNA (STUB_LNC002076)
Source: RNAcentral
AAUUCUCACAUCCAUGGGACAAUCUCAUAUCUCCACUUGACUCUGGAAUUCAAACUAGAUCCAGGACAAGAAAUCUAGUUGCAUAUUCAGCCUUUAUGUCAAGAGAAAUACAUCAAGGAACUGCUUUGAAAGUUCAAUCCGAUUGAGGCAAAAGUUCUUGACACUCCCAUGAGCACAAGUGUGUAGCUUGACUUAGAUGAAGAUGGAGUUGACGGAUGAGUGCAAUAUUUCAAGCAGCACC